GACGAACGCUGGCGGCGUGCUUAACACAUGCAAGUCGAACGGAAAGGCCCUGCUUUUGUGGGGUGCUCGAGUGGCGAACGGGUGAGUAACACGUGAGUAACCUGCCCUUGACUUUGGGAUAACUUCAGGAAACUGGGGCUAAUACCGGAUAGGAUCUCCUGCUGCAUGGUGGGGGUUGGAAAGUUUCGGCGGUUGGGGAUGGACUCGCGGCUUAUCAGCUUGUUGGUGGGGUAGUGGCUUACCAAGGCUUUGACGGGUAGCCGGCCUGAGAGGGUGACCGGCCACAUUGGGACUGAGGUACGGCCCAGACUGCUACGGGAGGCAGCAGUGGGGAAUAGUGCACAAUGGGCGGAAGCGUGAUGCAGCAACGCCGCGUGCGGGAUGACGGCCUUCGGGUUGUAAACCGCUUUCGCCUGUGACGAAGCGUGAGUGACGGUAAUGGGUAAAGAAGCACCGGCUAACUACGUG
Molecule: ribosomal RNA, 468 nt
Filed under: uncultured bacterium
Lineage: Bacteria
Description: partial 16S ribosomal RNA
Rfam family: Bacterial small subunit ribosomal RNA
Source: RNAcentral